AGUGAACGCUGGCGGCAGGCCUAACACAUGCAAGUCGAACGGCGGCACAGUAAGAGUUUGCUCUUACGGGUGGCGAGUGGCGGACGGGUGAGGAAUACAUCGGAACCUACUUUUUCGUGGGGGAUAACGUAGGGAAACUUACGCUAAUACCGCAUAUGAUCUACGGGUGAAAGCAGUGGAUCUUCGGACCUUGCGCGAUUGAAUGAGCCGAUGUCGGAUUUGCUAGUUGGCGGGGUAAAGGCCCACCAAGGCGACGAUCCGCAGCUGGACUGAGAGGAGGGUCGGCCGCACUGGAACGUGGACAGGGACCAGGCGCCUGCGGGAAGGAGCAGUGGGGAAUGGUAGGCAGUGGGGGCAAACCUGGUCCAGCCAUACCGCGUGGGUUGAGGAGGCGUUCGGGUUGUGAAGCCCGUUUGUUGGGAAAAAAAAGCAGCAGGUUGAUACCCCGCUGUUCUGACGGUACCCAAAGAAUAAGCACCGGCUAACUUCGUG
Molecule: ribosomal RNA, 492 nt
Filed under: uncultured bacterium
Lineage: Bacteria
Description: partial 16S ribosomal RNA
Rfam family: Bacterial small subunit ribosomal RNA
Source: RNAcentral